AGGGUGGCCUUGUGCCCUAGGGUGGGCAAGGGAAGAGGGCCACCUUCGCCGAGGGCAAAGCUAUGGAGAAGGUCCUGGGAGAGAGUCCUCAGCUGAGCACUCACAGCAGCAGGUGGCGGGUGCCCUUGUUGGGAGGAGAAUCGAGGCCAGGCACCAGGAGCAUCUCCCGCAGUGCCUGGCUGUGGAUCUCCCAUCGCUGAGGCCGGGGUAGUUUCCACCAUCUAAAAAAAGAAAGAAAGUGAAAUAGUCUGCCAGAAUACCUCCCAGCUGCUCCCUUCAGAGUCAACAUCCGCCAUGUGCUGGUUAACUGACUCUGCGAGGGAAGGGGGAGAAAGCCCUGAUGUCGCAUUUGCCAAUUUCUCUGCUGAAAAUACUCCCUACCGUGGCCAGCUAGCUGCGAAAUUUCUGAAUAUUUAAAAGUCAGCUGACAGGAAUCCACACAGCACACCAGUGAACAACGCCCCCUUCAUGGCCAUCUUAGGGAUGUUAUAGUUUGAGGUCCCACCAUAGCCCCCAGCUAAGGAAAAUAAAGACUAGCACCUCCUCAACAAAUGUGGGUAGAACUGUUUUCUAGAAGAAAUCUGAAAUCAUCCACCAAAAUCUGGAUGAGAGUGAAUAUUUGUGACUAAUACUUCAUAAUCCCCGUGAGGAAACCGGCCCAUCGUAUGAGAGUCUAUCCCCGGUCUGUGCCGACCUCGGCACGCUGCUGAGAGGGCAGGCACCGUGCCUCCUAGUGCUCCUUUGCCCUCGGUGCAGUGAGAAAGUGCUCGAUUCUCAGGGAGGCUCCCUGAUCCUGAAAGAUACUUAGCUGCCCUUAGGGAGGCAGUUGACCAGGUUAAGAGCCACGCCCUUGCAAAAGUUAGGUCAAAGCUAGAGGUGAACCUGACCCAGAUAAGGCACCAGGACCGAAUCCCCUGCAUUAGGCAGAUGCAACAGCUUUCGUCUAGACUGAGCUGGACGGCAAGCGCUUGUGGAGACAUACCUGGCCCCAGCUCAGGCCUCAGCCACAGGGUGGGACCUGCCCUGGGUUAACUGGGAAUGGCGAAGCCAGGCCAGACAUGAGGCUAUGCAGAAAAAGAGAGAGAAGACGUGUAUGUCCCACCUCACCCACCCCAACAAAACUAAACACAUCCUAUCGCAGCCAAAGGGGCAGAAAAAAGACAAAAGCACCAGGUCUGAGGGAAGAGGUCAGCAAACCACUCAAGACAAGAUGGCCCGGCCCUGCUAGAGAAUGGCUCUGUGCUCCAGCUCCUCC
This 1255-nucleotide long non-coding RNA is filed under the name Equus caballus (horse). Its description in RNAcentral is "lncRNA (ENSECAG00000057010.1)". Lineage: Eukaryota; Metazoa; Chordata; Mammalia; Perissodactyla; Equidae. The record is from RNAcentral.